AGAAUCCGAGUGUCAAAGGCUGCGCCUUCUUGUCCGGAAGAGGUUGCCAGGUCCUGCAGCCUUAGUAAAGAUGAAAAAUGAAGUUGAAAUGCUAGGAAGGGAUUCAUUCGAGAUCAGGAGACGGCAGAAAAAUUCAACAGGUUCGUUGGACUCUUCACUAGAGAACUCUCCAGAGACUCCUAGCAGACGUAUUAGUGUGCUAACCUCCGCAGUGUCAGCUUUGGAAGAAGAGAACAACAACCUCAAGGAAGCUCUCAGCAAAAUGAACAAUGAACUU
Molecule: long non-coding RNA, 277 nt
Filed under: Cucumis sativus (cucumber)
Lineage: Eukaryota; Viridiplantae; Streptophyta; Magnoliopsida; Cucurbitales; Cucurbitaceae
Description: long non-coding RNA (CSAT_LNC000664)
Source: RNAcentral